CAGCCGCCGCGGUAAUACGUAGGGGGCGAGCGUUACCCGGAUUUACUGGGCGUAAAGGGGGCGUAGGCGGCCGUGAAAGUCCGGUGUGAAAACUCACGGCUCAACCGUGGGACUGCGCUGGAAACUACACGGCUUGAGGACGGUAGAGGGAGACGGAACUGCUGGUGUAGGGGUGAAAUCCGUAGAUAUCAGCAGGAACGCCGGUGGAGAAGUCGGUCUCCUGGGCCGUUCCUGACGCUGAGGCCCGAAAGCUAGGGGAGCAAACCGGAUUAGAUACCCGGGUAGUCCUAGCCGUAAACGAUGCCCACUAGGUGUGGGGGAGUAAUUCCUCCGUGCUGAAGCUAACGCGAUAAGUGGGCCGCCUGGGGAGUAUGCCCGCAAGGGUGAAACUUAAAGGAAUUGGCGGG
RNAcentral lists this ribosomal RNA (407 nucleotides) under uncultured microorganism. RNAcentral's name for it is "bacterial SSU rRNA". It matches the Rfam family "Bacterial small subunit ribosomal RNA", at positions 509 to 917 of the family's 1533-position model. The record is from RNAcentral.